AUGCCUACGGGAGGCAACAGUGGGGAAUAUUGCGCAAUGGGCGAAAGCCUGACGCAGCGACGCCGCGUGGGGGAUGAAGGUCUUCGGAUCGUAAACCUCUGUCAGCAGGGAAGAACGGGCACUGUGCUAAUCAGCAGUGAAUUGACGGUACCUGCAAAGGAAGCACCGGCUAACUCCGUGCCAGCAGCCGCGGUAAUACGGAGGGUGCGAGCGUUAAUCGGAAUUACUGGGCGUAAAGGGCUCGUAGGCGGUAUGUCAAGUCAAGGGUGAAAUCCCCGCGCUCAACGGGGGAACUG
Molecule: ribosomal RNA, 296 nt
Filed under: uncultured bacterium
Lineage: Bacteria
Description: partial 16S ribosomal RNA
Rfam family: Bacterial small subunit ribosomal RNA
Source: RNAcentral